ACCCUACGGGGCGCAGCAGUGAGGAAUAUUGGUCAAUGGGCGCAAGCCUGAACCAGCCAAGUCGCGUGAGGGAAGACGGCCCUACGGGUUGUAAACCUCUUUUGUCAGGGAGCAAAGGGCGCCACGUGUGGCGCUUUGCGAGUACCUGAAGAAAAAGCAUCGGCUAACUCCGUGCCAGCAGCCGCGGUAAUACGGAGGAUGCGAGCGUUAUCCGGAUUUAUUGGGUUUAAAGGGUGCGCAGGCGGAAUGUCAAGUCAGCGGUAAAAUUUCGGGGCUCAACCCCGUCGUGCCGUUGAAACUGGCGU
RNAcentral lists this ribosomal RNA (305 nucleotides) under uncultured bacterium. RNAcentral describes it as "bacterial SSU rRNA". It matches the Rfam family "Bacterial small subunit ribosomal RNA", at positions 335 to 639 of the family's 1533-position model. The record is from RNAcentral.